This 779-nucleotide ribosomal RNA is filed under the name Klebsiella oxytoca. Its description in RNAcentral is "bacterial SSU rRNA". It matches the Rfam family "Bacterial small subunit ribosomal RNA", at positions 33 to 801 of the family's 1533-position model. Lineage: Bacteria; Pseudomonadati; Pseudomonadota; Gammaproteobacteria; Enterobacterales; Enterobacteriaceae. The record is from RNAcentral.
ACGCUGGCGGCAGGCCCUAACACAUGCAAGUCGAACGGUGAGCACARAAGAGCUUGCUCUCGGGUGACGAGUGGCGGACGGGUGAGUAAUGUCUGGGAAACUGCCUGAUGGAGGGGGAUAACUACUGGAAACGGUAGCUAAUACCGCAUAACGUCGCAAGACCAAAGAGGGGGACCUUCGGGCCUCUUGCCAUCAGAUGUGCCCAGAUGGGAUUAGCUAGUAGGUGGGGUAACGGCUCACCUAGGCGACGAUCCCUAGCUGGUCUGAGAGGAUGACCAGCCACACUGGAACUGAGACACGGUCCAGACUCCUACGGGAGGCAGCAGUGGGGAAUAUUGCACAAUGGGCGCAAGCCUGAUGCAGCCAUGCCGCGUGUAUGAAGAAGGCCUUCGGGUUGUAAAGUACUUUCAGCGGGGAGGAAGGCGAUAAGGUUAAUAACCUUGUCGAUUGACGUUACCCGCAGAAGAAGCACCGGCUAACUCCGUGCCAGCAGCCGCGGUAAUACGGAGGGUGCAAGCGUAAUCGGAAUUACUGGGCGUAAAGCGCACGCAGGCGGUCUGUCAAGUCGGAUGUGAAAUCCCCGGGCUCAACCUGGGAACUGCAUUCGAAACUGGCAGGCUGGAGUCUUGUAGAGGGGGGUAGAAUUCCAGGUGUAGCGGUGAAAUGCGUAGAGAUCUGGAGGAAUACCGGUGGCGAAGGCGGCCCCCUGGACAAAGACUGACGCUCAGGUGCGAAAGCGUGGGGAGCAAACAGGAUUAGAUACCCUGGUAGUCCACGCU